UACGGGGGGGGCAAGCGUUGUUCGGAAUUACUGGGCGUAAAGGGCGCGUAGGCGGCACGGCAAGUCAGGAGUGAAAGCCCUGGGCUCAACCCGGGAACUGCUUUUGAAACUGCCGAGCUAGAGUGCGGAAGGGGCAACUGGAAUUCCCAGUGUAGCGGUGAAAUGCGUAGAUAUUGGGAAGAACACCUGAGGCGAAGGCGGGUUGCUGGGCCGACACUGACGCUGAUGCGCGAAAGCCAGGGGAGCGAACGGG
Molecule: ribosomal RNA, 253 nt
Filed under: uncultured bacterium
Lineage: Bacteria
Description: partial 16S ribosomal RNA
Rfam family: Bacterial small subunit ribosomal RNA
Source: RNAcentral